RNAcentral lists this ribosomal RNA (292 nucleotides) under uncultured bacterium. Its description in RNAcentral is "partial 16S ribosomal RNA". It matches the Rfam family "Bacterial small subunit ribosomal RNA", at positions 505 to 796 of the family's 1533-position model. The record is from RNAcentral.
GUGCCAGCCGCCGCGGUAAUACGGAGGGUGCGAGCGUUGUCCGGAAUCAUUGGGCGUAAAGGGCGCGUAGGUGGCCCAGUAAGCGUGCGGUGAAAGCUCGGGGCUCAACCCCGAGUCGGCCGUGCGAACUACUGGGCUGGAGCACUGUAGAGGCAGGCGGAAUUCCGGGUGUAGCGGUGGAAUGCGUAGAGAUCCGGAAGAACACCGGUGGCGAAGGCGGCCUGCUGGGCAGUUGCUGACACUGAGGCGCGACAGCGUGGGGAGCAAACAGGAUUAGAUACCCUGGUAGUCC